Molecule: ribosomal RNA, 571 nt
Filed under: uncultured Bifidobacterium sp.
Lineage: Bacteria; Bacillati; Actinomycetota; Actinomycetes; Bifidobacteriales; Bifidobacteriaceae
Description: partial 16S rRNA
Source: RNAcentral
CACUAGUGAUUGGUGUUCUUCCCGAUAUCUACACAUUCCACCGUUACACCGGGAAUUCCAGUCUCCCCUACCGCACUCAAGCCCGCCCGUACCCGGCGCGGAUCCACCGUUAAGCGAUGGACUUUCACACCGGACGCGACGAACCGCCUACGAGCCCUUUACGCCCAAUAAUUCCGGAUAACGCUUGCACCCUACGUAUUACCGCGGCUGCUGGCACGUAGUUAGCCGGUGCUUAUUCGAAAGGUACACUCACCCGAAGGCUUGCUCCCAAUCAAAAGCGGUUUACAACCCGAAGGCCGUCAUCCCGCACGCGGCGUCGCUGCAUCAGGCUUGCGCCCAUUGUGCAAUAUUCCCCACUGCUGCCUCCCGUAGGAGUCUGGGCCGUAUCUCAGUCCCAAUGUGGCCGGUCGCCCUCUCAGGCCGGCUACCCGUCGUAGGCUCGGUGGGCCGUUACCCCGCCGACUACCUGAUAGGACGCGACCCCAUCCCAUACCGAUAUAAUCUUUCCCAGAAGGACAUGCAUCCAACUGGAGCAUCGGCAUUACCACCCGUUUCCAGGAGAAUCGAAUUC